UGGGGAAUAUUGCACAAUGGGGGAAACCCUGAUGCAGCGACGCCGCGUGAACGAAGAAGGUAUUCGUAUCGUAAAGUUCUUUCCUAUGGGAAGAUAAUGACAGUACCAUAGAAGAAAGCUCCGGCUAAAUACGUGCCAGCAGCCGCGGUAAUACGUAUGGAGCGAGCGUUGUCCGGAAUUAUUGGGCGUAAAGGGUACGCAGGCGGUUUAAUAAGUCGAAUGUUAAAGAUCGGGGCUCAACCCCGCAAAGCAUUGGAAACUGAUAAACUUGAGUAGUGGAGAGGAAAGUGGAAUUCCUAGUGUAGUGGUGAAAUACGUAGAUAUUAGGAGGAAUACCAGUAGCGAAGGCGACUUUCUGGACACAAACUGACGCUGAGGUACGAAAGCGUAGGGAGCAAACAGG
RNAcentral lists this ribosomal RNA (403 nucleotides) under bacterium. RNAcentral's name for it is "partial 16S ribosomal RNA". It matches the Rfam family "Bacterial small subunit ribosomal RNA", at positions 355 to 776 of the family's 1533-position model. The record is from RNAcentral.